GCCCUCGUAGCUCAGUCGGAUAGAGCAACGGACUUCUAAUCCGUGGGUCGCAGGUUCGAUUCCUGUCGAGGGCG
This 74-nucleotide transfer RNA is filed under the name Candidatus Rifleibacteriota bacterium. RNAcentral's name for it is "tRNA-Arg". It matches the Rfam family "tRNA". From Rfam's summary of the family: Transfer RNA (tRNA) molecules are approximately 80 nucleotides in length. Their secondary structure includes four short double-helical elements and three loops (D, anti-codon, and T loops). Lineage: Bacteria; Candidatus Rifleibacteriota. The record is from RNAcentral.